This 522-nucleotide ribosomal RNA is filed under the name Copidosoma thebe. RNAcentral describes it as "partial 28S ribosomal RNA". The record is from RNAcentral. Lineage: Eukaryota; Metazoa; Arthropoda; Insecta; Hymenoptera; Encyrtidae.
CCUGAGAAAUCCAAAAGUUCGAAUGGAGAGAUUCAGCGUCAGUGGCUGUUGGCUUGCGUGUGGUCGCGAUGCUCGUGCUGGCUGCGGCGCUCUCGGGCGCUCAGUGGGCGCGCGGCACGCGGUUGCUGCGUCAUGUCCGGCGUCGCCGGCGUGCACUUCUCUCCUAGUAGGACGUCGCGACCCGUCGGGUGCGCACAGCUCGGUCGACGGCCCGUACGGUAGACUGUCGAGCAUCACGCUCGACAGACCAUCGGUGUUCCGCAUCCCCGACCGACUGCCCGGCGGUAUUGAAAGCUUUUUUUAUCAAGAAUGGUAUCGGGCCGCACAUUUUUUUGAACGCGUUCGGCCUGACGGUCGUCAAGGUCUCGCACGGCGUUUUACGGACCUGGUGCCGUUGCCGUGUGCUUGAUUCUUUUUCGAUCGUCAGUGUCCUCGAACCGGCUCGCGGGGCCCGCUCCCUCGGGGGUGGGCUCCGGCUCACGCAUACCGGUCAGCGACGCUUUUGCUUUGGAUACUUUCAGG